UAGUCUAGUGUAUAGUCCAUGCACUAGUCAAUUCUAUAAUUCAGACUAUAAUCUAGAUUAUAUUCCAGACUAUAGUCUAGAAAUAUGUAUGUGAUCUGUUGAAAUCACACAAUUCACUAAAGAAAUGUUAAAAAGUUCAUCAAACUUACCGAUAACAAACAAACGUGAAUUCAUCAAAUGAAAACUGAUCAUAAAAGGUGUUGCCAAAACGCGUGUUUUACUACAAGUCAUUAGAAAAGCAAUAGAAAAAUCAAAUAUCGCUGUAAACCAAUGAACAAUCAACAAAUCUGCCAAAUCUUCCGUAAGAACCCAACGAAAAGGACUCAAUACCCAAUGGCGACUUAAAGAAGACAUUGCAUAACCGGAUAACCAUUCAGCGGUUUUUGUGAAUGUUCAAGAGUGAAGAGCUGAAUAAAAAUGUGGAUGGAUAAUCAAGGAAAAUCUAUUAAUUCCAAACUUUGAACUGAAAGUAAUUGUGAAAAGCUAAAUAAAGUCUUCAAAACUGCCGAAAAAGGAUUAGAAGCAUGAUCGAAGCUUCCUUUAAAAUGCCGAGUAAUACAAUUAUCUAAAUAUGUUCAAAAAAUGUAAAUAAAAUGUGUUUUUGUUUAUGGA
Molecule: long non-coding RNA, 612 nt
Organism: Lucilia cuprina (Australian sheep blowfly)
Lineage: Eukaryota; Metazoa; Arthropoda; Insecta; Diptera; Calliphoridae
Exons: 2
Source: RefSeq, a predicted model, not a curated record